UCGUCACACUAUCAUUAACUGAAUCCAUAGGUUAAUGAGGCGAACCGGGGGAACUGAAACAUCUAAGUACCCCGAGGAAAAGAAAUCAACCGAGAUUCCCCCAGUAGCGGCGAGCGAACGGGGAGGAGCCCAGAGCCUGAAUCAGCAUGUGUGUUAGUGGAAGCGUCUGGAAAGGCGCGCGAUACAGGGUGACAGCCCCGUACACAAAAGCGCAUGUGCUGUGAGCUCGAUGAGUAGGGCGGGACACGUGGUAUCCUGUCUGAAUAUGGGGGGACCAUCCUCCAAGGCUAAAUACUCCUGACUGACCGAUAGUGAACCAGUACCGUGAGGGAAAGGCGAAAAGAACCCCGGCGAGGGGAGUGAAAAAGAACCUGAAACCGUGUACGUACAAGCAGUGGGAGCACCCUUCGGGGUGUGACUGCGUACCUUUUGUAUAAUGGGUCAGCGACUUAUAUUCUGUAGCAAGGUUAACCGAAUAGGGGAGCCGGAGGGAAACCGAGUCUUAACCGGGCGUUAAGUUGCAGGGUAUAGACCCGAAACCCGGUGAUCUAGCCAUGGGCAGGUUGAAGGUUGGGUAACACUAACUGGAGGACCGAACCGACUAAUGUUGAAAAAUUAGCGGAUGACCUGUGGCUGGGGGUGAAAGGCCAAUCAAACCGGGAGAUAGCUGGUUCUCCCCGAAAGCUAUUUAGGUAGCGCCUCGUGAAUUCAUCUCCGGGGGUAGAGCACUGUUUCGGCUAGGGGGCCAUCCCGGCUUACCAACCCGAUGCAAACUGCGAAUACCGGAGAAUGUUAUCACGGGAGACACACGGCGGGUGCUAACGUCCGUCGUGAAGAGGGAAACAACCCAGACCGCCAGCUAAGGUCCCAAAGUCAUGGUUAAGUGGGAAACGAUGUGGGAAGGCCCAGACAGCCAGGAUGUUGGCUUAGAAGCAGCCAUCAUUUAAAGAAAGCGUAAUAGCUCACUGGUCGAGUCGGCCUGCGCGGAAGAUGUAACGGGGCUAAACCAUGCACCGAAGCUGCGGCAGCGACACUGUGUGUUGUUGGGUAGGGGAGCGUUCUGUAAGCCUGUGAAGGUGUGUCGUGAGGCAUGCUGGAGGUAUCAGAAGUGCGAAUGCU
This 1119-nucleotide ribosomal RNA is filed under the name Salmonella enterica. RNAcentral's name for it is "bacterial LSU rRNA". It matches the Rfam family "Bacterial large subunit ribosomal RNA", at positions 140 to 1298 of the family's 2925-position model. The record is from RNAcentral. Lineage: Bacteria; Pseudomonadati; Pseudomonadota; Gammaproteobacteria; Enterobacterales; Enterobacteriaceae.